RNAcentral lists this ribosomal RNA (370 nucleotides) under uncultured bacterium. RNAcentral's name for it is "bacterial SSU rRNA". It matches the Rfam family "Bacterial small subunit ribosomal RNA", at positions 527 to 896 of the family's 1533-position model. The record is from RNAcentral.
GAAGGGGGCUAGCGUUGUUCGGAAUUACUGGGCGUAAAGGGCGUGUAGGCGGCCCGUUAAGACAGGUGUGAAAUUCCUGGGCUCAACCCAGGACGUGCGCCUGUGACUGGCGGGCUUGAGUCUGGGAGAGGAUGGUGGAACUCCCAGUGUAGAGGUGAAAUUCGUAGAUAUUGGGAAGAACACCCGUGGCGAAGGCGGCCAUCUGGACCGGUACUGACGCUAAGGCGCGACAGCGUGGGGAGCAAACAGGAUUAGAUACCCUGGUAGUCCACGCCGUAAACGAUGAGUGCUAGACGUUGGGCAGCCUAGCUGUUCAGUGUCGCAGCUAACGCAUUAAGCACUCCGCCUGGGGAGUACGGCCGCAAGGUUG